This 169-nucleotide ribosomal RNA is filed under the name Tylosurus crocodilus (hound needlefish). RNAcentral's name for it is "partial small subunit ribosomal RNA". Lineage: Eukaryota; Metazoa; Chordata; Actinopteri; Beloniformes; Belonidae. The record is from RNAcentral.
CACCGCGGUUAGACGAGAGGCCUAAGUUGAUAGUCUCCGGCGUAAAGAGUGGUUAGGGAGACCCUAAAACUAAAGCCGAAUAUUCUCACAGCUGUCAUACGCACCCGAGAAUAAGAAGUCCCACCACGAAAGUGGCUUUAACCCACCCGACCCCACGAAAGCUGUGGAA